Molecule: long non-coding RNA, 3396 nt
Filed under: Lupinus angustifolius (narrow-leaved blue lupine)
Lineage: Eukaryota; Viridiplantae; Streptophyta; Magnoliopsida; Fabales; Fabaceae
Description: long non-coding RNA (LANG_LNC002073)
Source: RNAcentral
GGUGGUGUAGCAGGUGGAGGUUCAGGUCAUGGUGGAGGAUUUGGUGCAGGUGGUGGUAUAGGAAGUGGAGGUGGAGCAGGUUUAGGAAGUGGUCAUGGUGGUGGUGGGUUUGGUGUUGGAAUUGGCAUUGGCAUUGGAGUUGGAAUUGGAACUGGAACAGGAACAGGUACUGGAGUUGGAGUUGGAAGCGGUUCUGGUGGUGGUGGUGGCAAACAUUAAGCAUGCAUGAAGUUAUACAUUUCUGCAUCUUCUUGCUAAUACUACCUGGACAGUGGAACGUACCUCAAAUAAUGAGUCGUUUAUGUGAUUAUCACAAUGUUUUUCUAUAUAAUUUAUUUAAGGUUUUAUAACACUUUUGUUACAUUAUGACAUCCUUGUUAGUUGUUAGUCACUACAACAUCUUUAUUUGAAAACUGUAAUAAACUACUCAGUUACGUGAAUCCAAACUGUGUUUUUUAAGAAUAUAGUCAUGUCUCAGACAAACAUGAUCAAUGGAGCUCCAUCUUCGUUUCGAGGCCGAAAGGGUAUUAGUGCUUAAGAAUUAAGAUCUCUUUUAAUUUAUAAGGAAGUUUACGUCUCAAACUUCAUGUUGGCGUUCACGUAAAAAAUAAAAAAUAAGUUGUCACAAGAUUAACAAAGGAUUAAUGAUUACACAAGGAUCCUCUUCCCAAAUUUUUUUUGUCUUAAUGUACCAAAUCAAUCAAAUUUCAUAGAAUAGUGUAUAAAUAUUAAUUUAUGUUAUUAUAAUUUUUAUUUUUUAAUCAAAUAAGAUUUUAUGAUUGAAUGGGAACACCAAAUGAGAUAGGAAUGACGACAUUUGAUCUCCACCCUUAGGCUUUGUUUGGGAGUUAGGAAGGAAGAAGAAGGGGAAGGAGAGAUAUCAAAGGGUUAGGAAGGGGGAGGAAUGGAAUAGAAAAUGAAGGAAAUCCUCUGCAUUAUUUGAGAGUAUAAAAUUUAGACGAAUGAGGGUAAAUUAAUGAUAAUGUAAGAAUAUUUUUUAUUUUUCAUUAAAAAUGUAAUUAACAAUGAGAAAUGAUUAUAUAUUAUUAUUAAACAUAUUUCGUUAUUUUGACAUUUUAUAUCCAAAAACUUAUCAUCUCUUUGAUCCAACUCCCAAACAAGGAGAAGACUUUCCAAAGUAAUCAUUUUCCUUUCCUUCUCCUUCAAAACUUCACUCUCAAACAAUACCUUAAUGAUUAGUUUUGUUCACGUUACAGAACUAGUUACAUUAACCGUGCCCAAAAAAUACUUUAACACUAUUGGGAAGGGAUGAAGUUCUCAUGUCCCAUUGGUGUCUCUAAAGGUGUCCAAAGUCAAUCAAAAUGCAUCAUUUAAUUGAAAAAAAGUUACUAAACAAUGAGUUUGUAUAUAUAGGUUAGGGCUAAUGAGUUAUUGAGAAUACUUUUUCAUUUUUUAAUGGAAGUGUCCUUAAACUAGUUUAGGAGUCUAUGUCGUAAAAUGAUCAUAUCUUCAAUUUCUAGUCAUAGUUUUCUCCAAAUUUAGACAAAUUUUCUUUUUGUUUUUUUAGAAUAUUUCUAUUUAAUUAAUUGCACUUUUUCAUUAAACAUACACAAAAAGAUUGGGACAAAAAUGUAUGAUCUAUACUUUCUCCAUGAAAGUUAAUUUAUUUAUGCCAUUGAACGUGGAAUUAUUUUUCUUUGGAACAAAAUACAAGUGUAUAGUACAGAUAAGCAAUACAAAUGGCAUGAUACCUAACAAAUGUAUCGAUCUAUCUAUCAGUAUAAUUCAACACAUCCAAAUAGAAAGUCAACCUGAUCAACGUUUGACUUUACAUCCUACUUCACUUCUACACACUUGUUCUCAUUUAAUGUAGCAUCAAUGCCUCAACAGUUCAGAAAAUGCACCCUUUAAUAGGUAGUUAGACACACUGUUUCAUUUGGCAACAAGUGGACGAAGCCUAUAUAAUGCAUAGUCCUUAUUCCCCAAGAGCAGCAACAAGUGGAAGUGAAAGUAAGUGGUUAACUUUGUACUUAUUUCAUUAUCUUCUUCUUUUCGUAGUUGGCACUUAAGAGUGUUAUGGGUACUUUAAAUUUCCAUCGGAAAUGGCUUUCUGUGAGUGUUCUUGUUUUCUGCAUUGUUCUUCACAUGAGUGUAAUCACUCUUGGUGAUGAUUGUCGAUUUGGAGGUGGACCACGCUGCAGGGGUUGGUUUGGUGGCCGUCGUGGCCGGGGAGGUGGUUUGGGCAGUGGAAGAGGCUUUGGUCGUGGUGGUCUUGGAGGAGGUUCUGGUGGCGGCGGCGGCUUUGGUGGUGGAGGAGGUGGUGGUCUUGGGGGUGGGUCAGGUCAUGGUGGAGGUUUUGGCGCCGGGGGAGGUGUAGGUGGUGGAGCUAGAGGUGGAGGCCUUGGUGGAGGAAGUGGUGGUGGAGGUGGAUUGGGAGGUGGCUCAGAACAUGGUGGAGGAUUUGGAGCUGGAGGUGGUGUUGGCGGUGGUUCAGGAGGUCUUGGUGGUGGAGCAGGUGGGGGUGGAGGUGGCGGUUUAAGUGGAGGCUCAGGUCAUGGUGGAGGUUUUGGUGCAGGUGGUGGAGUAGGAGGUGGGGCUUCUGGAGGAGGAAUUGGUGGUGGAGGAGGUGGUGGUAGUGGUGGUGGUGGAGGAAUAAGUGGAGGUUCAGGUCAAGGUGGCGGUUUUGGUGCCGGUGGUGGUGUAGGAGGUGGGGCUGCGGGAGGAGGAAUUGGUGGUGGGGGAGGUGGUGGUAGCGGUGGCGGCAGUGGAAUAAGUGGAGGUUCAGGUCAAGGUGGCGGUUUUGGUGCAGGUGGUGGUGUAGGAGGGGGGGCUGCCGGAGGAGGAAUUGGUGGCGGAGGAGGAGGUGGUAGCGGAGGUGGGAUAAGUGGAGGUUCAGGUCAAGGUAGCGGUUUUGGUGCAGGUGUUGGUGUAGGAGGUGGAGCUAGUGGAGGAGUUGGAGGUGGAGGUGGAGCAGGAGGAGGAGGAGGUGGUGGAGUAGGUGGAGGUUCAGGUCAAGGUGGAGGGUUUGGUGCAGGUGGUGGUGUAGGAGGUGGAGCUGCUGGAGGAGGUGGAGGAGGAGGAGGUGGCGGCGGAGGUGGUGGUGUAGCAGGUGGAGGUUCAGGUCAUGGUGGAGGAUUUGGUGCAGGUGGUGGUAUAGGAAGUGGAGGUGGAGCAGGUUUAGGAAGUGGUCAUGGUGGUGGUGGGUUUGGUGUUGGAAUUGGCAUUGGCAUUGGAGUUGGAAUUGGAACUGGAACAGGAACAGGUACUGGAGUUGGAGUUGGAAGCGGUUCUGGUGGUGGUGGUGGCAAACAUUAAGCAUGCAUGAAGUUAUACAUUUCUGCAUCUUCUUGCUAAUACUACCUGGACAGUGGAACGUACCUCAAAUAAUGAGUCGUUUAUGUGAUUAUCACAAUGUUUUUCUAUAUAAUUUAUUUA